AAGUCGUAACAAGGUUUCCGUAGGUGAACCUGCGGAAGGAUCAUUACAGAGUAAACUUGGUGGGUUGUUGCUGGCUCUCAUUCGAGUAUGUGCACGCCUAUCAUUUUUAUCUUUCCACCAUGUGCACCCUUUGUAGGUCUGAUGACAAAAUGCCUAAUCAGAGUACUCACUGAUUACUGGGAGAUUGCUGUUUUCACAAACUGCUUUUCCUGUUUUGGUUGUCUUCCAGAUACUAUGAUUUAAUUAUAUACACCCAUGUAUGUCCAUGAACGUUAUCAAUGGGCCUAUAGAGCCUAUAAACCUAUAAUACAACUUUCAGCAACGGAUCUCUUGGCUCUC
This 339-nucleotide unclassified non-coding RNA is filed under the name Conocybe sp. RNAcentral describes it as "partial internal transcribed spacer region". The stretch from base 1 to 46 matches the Rfam family "Eukaryotic small subunit ribosomal RNA", at positions 1786 to 1831 of the family's 1831-position model. The record is from RNAcentral. Lineage: Eukaryota; Fungi; Basidiomycota; Agaricomycetes; Agaricales; Bolbitiaceae.